AAAGCAGGUCAUAGUGAUCCGGUGGUUCUGAAUGGAAGGGCCAUCGCUCAACGGAUAAAAGGUACUCCGGGGAUAACAGGCUGAUACCGCCCAAGAGUUCAUAUCGACGGCGGUGUUUGGCACCUCGAUGUCGGCUCAUCACAUCCUGGGGCUGAAGUAGGUCCCAAGGGUAUGGCUGUUCGCCAUUUAAAGUGGUACGCGAGCUGGGUUUAGAACGUCGUGAGACAGUUCGGUCCCUAUCUGCCGUGGGCGCUGGAGAACUGAGGGGGGCUGCUCCUAGUACGAGAGGACCGGAGUGGACGCAUCACUGGUGUUCGGGUUGUCAUGCCAAUGGCACUGCCCGGUAGCUAAAUGCGGAAGAGAUAAGUGCUGAAAGCAUCUAAGCACGAAACUUGCCCCGAGAUGAGUUCUCCCUGACUCCUUGA
This 425-nucleotide ribosomal RNA is filed under the name Escherichia coli. RNAcentral describes it as "partial 23S ribosomal RNA". It matches the Rfam family "Bacterial large subunit ribosomal RNA", at positions 2402 to 2826 of the family's 2925-position model. Lineage: Bacteria; Pseudomonadati; Pseudomonadota; Gammaproteobacteria; Enterobacterales; Enterobacteriaceae. The record is from RNAcentral.